Molecule: unclassified non-coding RNA, 518 nt
Filed under: Drosophila mojavensis
Lineage: Eukaryota; Metazoa; Arthropoda; Insecta; Diptera; Drosophilidae
Description: GI15519
Source: RNAcentral
UCAUACACCAAACAUAUUUUACCGACUCUACAACAAAAAAAAAAAAAAACCUUAUACUUAUUAUUUUAAAUUCCCUUAAUAUUCGAUAAUGUCGUUACCAAACUCAAUAGUUAUUUCGAUGCCCGAGGAAUCGCCACGUUCGUCAGAACCAAACUGGAUGUGUACAGCGCUGACGGUGAAAGAGCGUCGAGCACGAGCGGGCGCAGAUUUGGAAGCGGGAUUCGCAAACAUGGGGCAUAGCAGUCGGCCACAUGGACGCCCCAGCGAACGCAAAUCGCAAGUGGCAGCCAAGUCGACUGCACCCAAGAAGCAUAUGGGCCAACGCACCUGAAUACGAGGCUGCACCACUCUCUCUUUCCCUCUCCUUUUUCCAAUCCCAUUCAAAGAAGAGCUCGGAGUUGAUGGAAUGGAAAGAGAUAGCAAAUAGCAAAUUAUAUGUGUGAAAAGGUGACAAACGAGUUGCUGACGUAAAUUUUUGUAUACCCCUCUAUAACAAUUAACUGCAAAAUAUAUAUAAC